Non-coding RNA from Flavobacterium johnsoniae, 28 nucleotides. Lineage: Bacteria; Pseudomonadati; Bacteroidota; Flavobacteriia; Flavobacteriales; Flavobacteriaceae. The record is from Rfam.
CAACCUCUGGCGAAAUACGUGAAUGUUG